Molecule: small RNA, 753 nt
Filed under: Pongo abelii (Sumatran orangutan)
Lineage: Eukaryota; Metazoa; Chordata; Mammalia; Primates; Hominidae
Description: processed transcript
Source: RNAcentral
CAAUCUCUAUAAAGGAAUCUGCAGCUUAUAAAGCUGUGAAUGCACUUCAGUCAGUAUACGGGGUACGAUACAGAUAUGGACCAGCCUCCACAACAUUGUAUGUGAGCUCUGGUAGCUCAAUGGAUUGGGCCUACAAAAAUGGAAUACCUUAUGCAUUUGCUUUCGAACUACGUGACACUGGAUAUUUUGGAUUUUUACUCCCAGAGAUGCUCAUCAAACCCACCUGUACAGAAACUAUGCUGGCUGUGAAAAAUAUCACAAUGCACCUGCUAAAGAAAUGUCCCUGAGACAGCCCAAGGCUCAGGUCAACUGCCAUAGGAUUCUGAGCAAGGCCUACUUGGCCCUGGAUAGAAACUGUUUUCAAAGAGAAGGGCAGCUGCUUAGAGUGAACAUGUGUAUGGACCUUAAAAAGACCCCACGCAAUUUGACUUUGUGGCAAUAGAACACAGUAAAAAACAGGGCAUAGCCUAGUUUGUUAUAAGAAAAAGCAUUCCAUUUUCUAUCCUUUUAGAGUCUUACUUGAUUAUGGGUGGGAGGGAAUGUUUUCAAAUUUCCCAUUUCUCAAGAAAUGUUCAUAUUAAUUGAGGAUUUGCCUUCAAUAAAUCUCAUGUCCUCAGUUAAGAUCUAGGCUAGUAAUGAUGUUUAAUUACUUGGUUCUCAUUGGAAAUGGAAAAUUAUGAAAUGGAAAAAAACAACUAUGUUUCUAAUAAAUAAACAUAGGCCGGGCACGGUGGCUCACGCCUGUAAUUCCAG